This is a long non-coding RNA of Ochlerotatus camptorhynchus, 908 nucleotides long. RefSeq lists it as uncharacterized. NCBI's taxonomy places the organism in Eukaryota, Metazoa, Arthropoda, Insecta, Diptera, Culicidae. The transcript is spliced from 4 exons. The record is from RefSeq and is a predicted model, not a curated record.
UCAUUAAUGAGUACUUUCAAGUUAGCGUGUAUACCGCAUCCGUGUAUACGAAUACACUUACUACCCCUGUUGGGUGGUUUUGCUCCUCCGUUUUUGACAACAUUAGAAGGAGAAAAGGAGACAAACUAGUCAAAAGUAGGUAAAAGUGAACUGGCCGUUGGGUACUUUUUUCUUACCGUGUACGAAUACAGCACCCCACACGAAUAAAGCCCUACAGUAAAAGUAUGGACGACUGACACCACAAAACUGAAAAAAGCUGUUCCAAUCGAGCAAAGCGGUGCAUUUUGACGGUUCGAUUGGAACAACUUUUGACAGACGUCCAUACUUUUACUGUAGGGCUUUACACACGAAUUGCCGGCGACAAAGUGACGUCAUUUGACAUUGGGCGACUUAAAGACUGACGUUUUUAAAUUGGUGUGUUUUUUUUUGUCGUGCGCUCAGCCAUCUUGUCUGGUUUGUUUAUAAACAAACUAGACAAGAUGGCUGAGUGCACGGAGCGCACCGCAAAUUCCUUCACCCGAGCCGCGAAGGAAAGUAGCAACUUUAACACCGGCUGCUUCCAAUAAUUCCGGAUUGGGACGUGUACGGAAAUUGAAUAGAGCCGCCUGCUUCCAAUAAUUCCGGAGGUGUUCGGGAAUAGAGUGGCAACCACUUACGCUAGGGAGGCAAUUGAACACCUAGACCUGGACUCAUCAACUCAAGGGCCAGGAUCCACGGCUGUGCUUCUUUUCGAAGGAAGGCAUGACACCACCAAAGCAACCAAGGAAGUCAUCAAUCCCCACCAACUGACGAGUUUCGUUUGUGGUUCGACACAUGGACGGAGCAUUUGUGUUUUGCUAAAUUUUGCAAAUUAUUGGGGAAUUUCCCUAAAGUUUCACGCGGCCACCAGUUUUCACUCUUCCACAGGC